Molecule: ribosomal RNA, 492 nt
Filed under: uncultured bacterium
Lineage: Bacteria
Description: partial 16S ribosomal RNA
Rfam family: Bacterial small subunit ribosomal RNA
Source: RNAcentral
AGUGAACGCUGGCGGUAGGCCUAACACAUGCAAGUCGAACGGCAGCACAGUAAUAGCUUGCUCUUACGGGUGGCGAGUGGCGUACGGGUGAGGAAUACAUCGGCAUCUACUUUUUCGUGGGGGAUCACGUAGGUAAACUUACGCUCAUACCGCAUACGACCUACGGGUGAAAGCAGUGGAUCUUCGGACCUUGCGCGAUUGAAUGAGCCGAUGUCGGAUUAGCUAGUUGGCGGGGUAAAGGCCCACCAAGGCGACGAUCCGUAGCUGGUCUGAGAGGAGGAUCAGCCACACUGGAAGGGAGACACGGUCCAGACUCCUACGGGAGGCAGCAGUGGGGAAUAUUGGACAAUGGGCGGAAGCCUGAUCCAGCCAGACCGCGUGGGUGAAGAAGGCCUUCGGGUUGUAAAGCCCGUUUGUUGGGAAAGAAAAGCAGCAGGUUAAUACCCCGCUGUUCUGACGGUACCCAAAGAAUAAGCACCGGCUAACUUCGUG